Homo sapiens (human) is the source of this 899-nucleotide long non-coding RNA. RefSeq lists it as uncharacterized. NCBI's taxonomy places the organism in Eukaryota, Metazoa, Chordata, Mammalia, Primates, Hominidae. The record is from RefSeq and is a predicted model, not a curated record. The transcript is spliced from 2 exons.
GAAGAGGAUGGGGCAUGAAAGACCAGUGGAAGAAAUGGGAAUUCCUCAGGCUGAGGGAAUAAAAGGUCAUACUGUUAACUGCUCACUCUGCUGCCUCGAGGCUGGACUUUCAGACAUCCUACUUCUCAGCCCGGGAUUCUCUGUGCUGGACUCCACUUCUCACAUCUACAGGCCCUUUUGGGUGGUUGAUGAAGGACCUGGAAGCUGAUUUCCUAAGAGUGAAUAACUUGGUGCCCUGAAGCUGACCCCUCAUCCACUAUAAACUGUCGAUGCUGGGUUGGUAUAGUGCCUUUGGAAAGCAGUAAAGCAAUUACCAGCAAAAGGCAUGAAGCUCUUCCUCCCCCUUUGACCCAGUAAUCUCUUUCCCUGGGAAAUUAUUCCAAGGAAAUUAUCCAAACGAAGCCAAGUGUUAUCUGCAUACAUGUGUGCAUUGAAGUCUUUCUUUAAAGGUCAAAAACUGGGAACCACAAUAAGGAAGUGGUUUAAUAAACUGGGACAUCAACACAAUGGACAAUCAGGCCUGGAAAUCCACAGCUGUGUGACUGUGAUGGGGAAUGGAAACAUGGAGAAUGCUUCUACUACACAGUGUAUCACCACUACACUCCCACCUAACUAGCUAAUUCAACAAAUCACGCUUGUCAAGGAGAGAGAAGUCUCUCUGUUCAUGUUCAAAAUAAACUCAGCCUCUGACACCACAAAGGAACAGAAGAGAAGCUUAAAUGCAACAAACACAAUAAGCUCAAUAAUUCUUGGCUUUUGAGUUUCCAAGGCCACAGGUCCUGAUGAUGUAUGACAUUUUCUGAGAGUGAUUUUGAUGAUUGGUUAUUGAUGAUUUUCACCUUUCACACUGUACUUGUUAUUAAGCCAUCUAAUUCAUCAUAUUAAAUUUUGUUAAGAUA